CAGCAGCCGCGGUAAUACAGAGGGUGCAAGCGUUAAUCGGAUUUACUGGGCGUAAAGGGCGCGUAGGUGGUUAUGUAAGUGAGAUGUGAAAUCCCCGGGCUCAACCUGGGAACUGCAUCUUAUACUGCGUAGCUGGAGUGCAGUAGAGGGUAGUGGAAUUUCCGGUGUAGCGGUGAAAUGCGUAGAUAUCGGAAGGAACACCAGUGGCGAAGGCGGCUACCUGGACUGACACUGACACUGAGGCGCGAAAGCGUGGGGAGCAAACAGGAUUAGAUACCCCGGUAGUCCCUGUCUCUUAUAC
Molecule: ribosomal RNA, 301 nt
Filed under: uncultured bacterium
Lineage: Bacteria
Description: partial 16S ribosomal RNA
Rfam family: Bacterial small subunit ribosomal RNA
Source: RNAcentral